RNAcentral lists this ribosomal RNA (117 nucleotides) under Thermomonospora umbrina. The record is from RNAcentral. Lineage: Bacteria; Bacillati; Actinomycetota; Actinomycetes; Streptosporangiales; Thermomonosporaceae.
UCCGGUGGUCAUGGCGGAGGGGAAACACCCGGUCUCUUUCCGAACCCGGUAGUUAAGCCCUCCAGCGCCGAUGGUACUGCAUGGGAGACCGUGUGGGAGAGUAGGACACCGCCGGAC